RNAcentral lists this ribosomal RNA (157 nucleotides) under Primula allionii. RNAcentral describes it as "5.8S ribosomal RNA". It matches the Rfam family "5.8S ribosomal RNA". Rfam says of the family: 5.8S ribosomal RNA (5.8S rRNA) is a component of the large subunit of the eukaryotic ribosome. It is transcribed by RNA polymerase I as part of the 45S precursor that also contains 18S and 28S rRNA. Functionally, it is thought that 5.8S rRNA may be involved in ribosome translocation. Lineage: Eukaryota; Viridiplantae; Streptophyta; Magnoliopsida; Ericales; Primulaceae. The record is from RNAcentral.
ACUCUCGGCAACGGAUAUCUAGGCUCUCGCAUCGAUGAAGAACGUAGCAAAAUGCGAUACUUGGUGUGAAUUGCAGAAUCCCGUGAACCAUCGAGUUUUUGAACGCAAGUUGCGCCCGAAGCCAUUAGGCCGAGGGCACGUCUGCCUAGGUGUCUCA